UGCGGUCCGACGGGUGGCGCAGCAGGCGGUAGAAGUCCGUCUUGCGGUAGAGGAAGCCGAAGAGCACACGCAGAAAGUCCUGAACGUUGCCCACGUGCUGCAGGAUGCCCAACAGGGCCUGAUCGUACAGCUCCGCCGCCCCGGGCUCCAUGGCGUCGCCGGCCGGAGGGAAGCUCACUCACUGCGGGCGCGGCCCGGACACCGGCCUGAGGCCACUUCCGGUGCGCUGCAGUAACGGCUCCGGCAGCCAGCGCGCCCGUGAAACUUCCGGUCCGCGCUCGUUCGCCCCCGCGGUAGGGCUUGGCUGGGCUGCGUUUGAGCCGACUUGACGCGGGCCCCGCCCCCACCACCCCCUGGCUUCCCGAGCGGUCUGGCUGAGGAGGGGACGUGGGCCCAGAAAUGCAAGAAGGCCCGGAGCUGCGGGACUGAGGGCGCCUAGUGGCCAUGCUGGCAACGGACGGAAGAGGUGUAGCGCGGGCAAGUGUUACGUGCGUCUCGCUGUUGUCACGUGGUCUAUGGGUUGUGUUCCCGACUGGGUGACCUGAGCCCCAGGCGGGACAGCGGGGGCCUUUUGCUGGCGCGUCAGAAGAGGAAAUGCGAGCGCUUACUGGUGGUGUCUGUCCUGUUAAUAACGGAGCCGUGGGUGAAAUGCAAGGUGAAGUGCAUAAAUACAAGAAGACAAGAAUGUAAACUGAGAGGACCCAGAAGCAACAAUGUCCCAGCAGCAACGCACACACUGAACACCCAGAUCCUGGUUUCUAAUCCCAUCUCCAACAGAAGAGCUAGAACUCCUGGGAGAAACGGCUGACUCUAGGACUGGAGCAGAAAUAUACAAGUUGAGCCUGGAUCAUCUUAUAAUGCCAGAAAAACUGAAGUUUUAAAACUUUCAUGAGGAGGACACAUGUCAAAUUCAAGAGAUGGAUCAGGACCAGAUCACACCCACGCCAUCGCGUGCCACCUCCAUCACAUCGUGUGUCCCUGUGGGUGAGAUCUCAUGGCCAGAGGGUGACCUGUCGUGGGCACUCCUGUGGGGACAGCCGCUCCCAGGCCCUGAGGGGGAGGAUGGGUCAAGGGACCCCCACAGAGGAGCCCUUGUGGCCCCUCAGGUCAGGGCCGGUGAGCUGGGACAGGGGCUCCGGCUCCAUCAGAACUUCUGCCUAUUGUGAGGUCAAGAGCUACCCAGGCCACCCUCGCUCUUGGCAGGAUGUUCAAAGCCGUAGUUGACAUAGACACUGUUGGCCGUGCUCGACGGGGCAGGGUGCUUUGAGCAGGAGGCCGCCUUGGCCGCAGCCACCGCCUCCUCCUGCUGCUGCUGCUGCACCAGAGCUGGGUUGACAUCAGGCCCUGCAGAGGGACAGAUACAGAGGACCACGGUCAGGAAAGCGGCGUGCUGGAUGCGGGGCGCAGGCGUUUGCUGUGGCCUAAAAAGGAAGUUCCGGAGAUCGAGAGCUAAGCCCUAAGCCCUCCACCUCCACCGCUGCCCCUCACCCCAGCCCUCGCUCCACCCUACGCCUAAAAGCCAGUAGCCGUUUCAGCCGCCAUCCAUGCCCAGCCCCUGGCCCACCUGCCUUCCAGUGCAGACCCCUGCCAUCCGGGGAUCUGGCAGGGGAAGCCCCCGGACGCCCAUGGCCUGUGACUGCCACCCCCUCCUCUCUUCCUGGACACCCUGUGCAAGCGCUCCUUGCCGAGAGAAGCCAUUCCUCACUGUGUUGUCAGACUCAGGUCAGGGAGGGGCCCAGGGGCCUCUGCGCCUGCCACUCACCUCUCUGUCAAGAUCCCAGGCCACUCUGAGGGGGCAGGACCUGCGAGCUCCUUCCUCACUCCCAGCCACUCGGAAUCCCCAAGGGGUGGCCACGACCUGUGGAACCUGUAGCUCCCCAACUGGGUGGCCCCUGGGGCUGUCCUCCUCGCCACCCACCAUCCCCAAUACACUCUCCUCUUCCAAAGGGGGUCAGGAAGUUUCUACAAGAUGCUGGUGCCUUGGGUAGGGGCGCUGGAGCUGUGUGGCCUCCAGAUACAAUGCAUGUGACCAGCUCUGUGACUGGGGUGGGAGUCUCAGUUUCCUCAUCGGUGAAAUGGGGAUGAAAACAUCACCUACCUCCAGAGGUGAUAAGACGAUUAGUGCACAUAUAUUAGAGCACAAACACACCCUUCUGUAAAUGUUUUCUCUAAAAUUACCAUUAUUAGUAUUCCGGAUGUCAGGGAAUGGUGCAGCAUUGAACUGCUUUCAGCUUGCCCACCGUAAGAGGGGGGAUGCUUCGCCCUGCGGGCCCAGUUUAAAUCUCUGUGGGGGUGGGGCGGUGGAAUUCCCUGGUGGUCCAGUGGUCAGGACUCCGUGCUUCCACUGCCGAGAGCACGGGUUCAAUCCCUGGUCGGGAACGAAGGUCCCACAAGCCGCCCAGUGCAACCAAAAAAAAAAAAAAAAUCUCUUUUGGGGGACGGGGUGUGUAUAUGACUGUACUCAACAAUGAGGAAACAGAAAUGUACGUGUUGCUGGUAGGAGUUUAAAUGGUAAAACUUGCUGGAGGGCGUUAACCAUUGGCAUGCAUAAUCAACAUUCACAGACCGGACUUUCUCCAGGAAAUAUUGGAGGAUGAGGUCAAAGGUUCAGCCACAAGGAUGGUCAUCGCAGCACUGGCAAUAGCAUGGAAAGUCAGAAAUAGUCUCAUGUCCAGCAGCUGGGAGCUGGUUGGAUGGAUUGUGGCUGAUCCACAGGAGAGGAUAUGUUUUUCGACUGCAAGUAGUCACCCAUGAAUGAGUCAUGAAAUCAAUUUCGCAGAUAACACCAGCAUUUUUUUUUAAAAAUCAAUGAUAGACUAGAACAGAAAAUAUCCGAGGCUUCUCCGGCAGUGUUAUUUUGUGAAAUGCUUGUUCUACUCUGCCUGUCCGUGUCCGUGCCUGUACACAUCACCUCUCAGUGUGAUAAUGUAUUUCUUGCUGAAGGUCAUGAUCAAAAGUUCAACAACAGCACGCAGCACAGAACCAUACGGCUACUGAAAGUGUUUGAAACACACAUCUGACCAAGAAAAAAGAUGUUUUCACAUGUUAAGUGAAAAACUGCAGUUUUUCCAAACCAGGAGGAACUGUGUGCUCACAAUUUGGGCAGUGACUGUCCCGGGUAAGCAGGGCUGUGUGUGUUCGUGGCAUUUUGCCUGUGGCCUGGAGUCACGCGGGAGGGGCCUGGCAGUGUCAGAGGAGCCUGGGCACUCACCCAUGUAGCUGAGGAUGACCGGCAGGAAGACCAGGCCAUGCAGCAGGCCCAGCGCAGUGAUGAGGAGGUUGAGACGGAAGAAGAAGAUCUGGAUGAGCUGCGCCUUGGCCAGGCCCAGGACGAGGAUGCCAGGCAAGUUGGUCAUGGCCACUCCUGCGAACACCUGGGGGUCACAGGUGGGCGUCAGGCUGGGCACAGGACAGCCGGCCGAGGACUACGUGAGGCAGCCCAUCCACUCACCGCGCUGCCCAUGGAGAUGGUGGCCUCCUUGGCCCUCUCAAGCCGCGUGGGCUUGGUGCUGAUGGCAAAGGAGCGGGUGAUGUGGGACACGAACUCCACAGAGAUGCCCACCGCCUGUGGGGAGAGAGGAGGCUUCAGCCACAAAAGGGCGGGGGCAGGGGUCUCCACCCAGACCAGCAGGCAGCACCUAGACUCUAGAAAGAACUGGGGUCGUCCUGUGAGGCCAGCACCCCUCCUGCCCUGGAGCCCCGACCCUUCGGCCAGCAGGUUACCGUCACCAGGUUGAUGAGGGACACAGCAUUGUAGCUGAUAUCCCACAGGGUCAUGAAGCCCACAGUGUCCACCAGGAUCAUGAUGAUGGAGAACAGGUUGAGGAGGCCGGAGCAGACGUCCAUGCCCAGCAGGAAGCAGCAGACGGCGAAGGUGGGCACCAGGCAGAUGGCGAGCAUGAAGAGCCCCUCAGGGAUCACGGUCAGGUACUGCUCAUAGAACACGUUGGUGAUCCUGCGGGUCGCACAACACAGUCACUGCUCCGUGGCUUCCCACGCCCACUUCAGGAUGAGCGCGCAGCUUGGGGAGGGUGUUGGGGGGCCUGGGCCCAGGUGCAGCCCGAGCCUCCCUGCUGGAGCCCAUCCCCACCCAGCAGCCGCCCUCACCAGCCCAGCACCCUCGCCCGGGCCCACCUCCCUGCAUCGCAGUGCCCAGGGACUCACGUGUAAGGGAAGACCUCGAAGUCUGGGUCGGUGCCCGGCACCUUCCGCAGGUCGGCGGUGAUGUUGGCUGCGAGCGCCCGAGCUGCCCGCAGAGCCUCCGUGUAAUCCUGAGAGUUCUUCAGCGGCUUGUGGUAGGCCAUGAACCGCGAGGCUGCAAAGGUCAGAGCCUGUGCCAGGCGCCCUCAGAACCCCCAAGGGAUAGCGCCCGGCUGGGUUCAGGGCUCUGCCGCCACCAUUUGGGAAUUCUUAAUACAUUUUGAGCAAAGGGCCCUGCAUUUUGGUUUGGCCCCAGUCCUGCGAACUCUGCAGCUGGUCCUACUGCUGUGCAAGACUCAAGUCCCAGCCCUGCCUCUGAUGGAUAGAGCUUACAGAGAUCUCCCAGGACUUCCCUGGUGGUGCAGUGGUUAAGAAUCCAUCUGCCAAUGCAGAGGACACGGGUUCGAGCCCUGGUCCGGGAAGAUCCCACAUGCCGCAGAGCAGCUAAGCCCGUGCGCCACAACUACUGAGCCUGCACUCUAGAGCCUGUGAGCCACAACUACUGAGUCCAUACACCACAGCUACUGAAGCCCACAUGCCUAGAGCCUGUGCUCCACAACAAAAGAAGCCACUGCAAUGAGAAGCCCAAGCACCGCAAGGAAGAGUAGCCCCCUCUCACCACAACUAGAGAAAGCCCGUGCACAGCAACGAAGACCCAACGCAGCCAAAAAUAAAAUUAAAUUAAGAAAAAAAGAAAAAGAAGAAGAGAUCUCCCAGAUGAACCCAAACGCUGCUCUGUAUGGUUUCAAAACAUGCAUUGGAUUCUUAAAAUUCAUUUAAUUACUUUUCCAAUGUACAUAUUCCUAUAGGAAAGGACCAGAAAGGGAGACAGGAAAAUGGAAACAGCUGACUUAACAGAGCUGUGCAUCAGGGCACCCACUGGCCUCAGUUUCCCCAAGAUGUAGUGGGCCCUGAGCCCCCAGAGGCCCCAUACUCACUGACAGUCGAGGGGCAGAAAUCAUCUUUAUUGGGGCCAAAGACAUAAAGGCGGCAGCAGGAAGAUGAAGACAGCCAAUCAAGGAAGUCGUCCACCCAGGAGGAGGCAGGGAUGGCCAGGAAUUGUCCACAUGGACAUCGGCGCUUAGGAAGAGGCAGUAAGAAGCCCAGCAAACCCAUGCAGGGCUGCACCUGGGCAUGUAGGGGCAGUUGGGGGUAUGCAGAACUCCUGCCCCCUUACCUGGUACUCGAGAACGAAGAUGAAGAUGUUGUCGGCCCCCACGGCGAGCACCAGGAAGGGCACCACUUGAAGGAUCACCAGUGAGGAGGGGACACCCAGGUAGGAGAAGAAGCCCAUGGAAGCCAUGACUGCGCCCAGCACCACAGCCACCCCGCCCAGGCCCAGCGUGGCCUUGGAGUCCACCUGCAAUGGGAUCAGGCUCAGCCUCCUGGCUGCAGGGCUGCCCGACGUGCCCCCCACCUGAGUUAGAGGAGGGC
Long non-coding RNA from Balaenoptera ricei (Rice's whale), 5634 nucleotides. RefSeq lists it as uncharacterized. The transcript is spliced from 5 exons. The record is from RefSeq and is a predicted model, not a curated record. NCBI's taxonomy places the organism in Eukaryota, Metazoa, Chordata, Mammalia, Artiodactyla, Balaenopteridae.